Piliocolobus tephrosceles (Ugandan red Colobus) is the source of this 3787-nucleotide long non-coding RNA. The record is from Ensembl. Lineage: Eukaryota; Metazoa; Chordata; Mammalia; Primates; Cercopithecidae.
AAUUUAAAAAAAAAAAAAAAAAUUAAAAAGAAACCCAAUUUUAAUGUAGAAAAAAAAUAUGAGAAGAAAAAGGUAAAAAAAAAAAAAAAAAAAAAAAGUUACAACAUAAAUAUUUAAAAAAAAGGCAACAUGGAUCGAUUUAAAAGGAAUGCAACGAGACGAGAGAGUGCUAUUGUUUAUGCAAAAAAAACAGUAGAUAAAAGCAAAGUAAAUUUCAUUGAAAAAGAAUGUAGCUAUAAUAAUGAGCUGUUAAGAGAACAUGCAAAUGUUUUAAACAUAUUAAAAAAUGUCGUAGUAACACAGAUUACAUCAGCAAGAAAAAGAAUAGUGAAACAGUUAGAUGAUUUAUUAUUUUUUGAUAAUAAAAGAAGUAGAAAUUUUGAUGAAUUUUAUGAUAAAUGUAUUAAUAUUAUUGAACAUUAUUUAAUUGUAUAUAAUGAAAUUAAUGGAAUAGUAAAAUCCAAAGCAAAAAAUAAAAGAAUAGGCAACUUUGCAAAUCCCCAAUUAAUUUCAUUUAAUAAGGAUAAUGGAAUUGUUAAUAAUACGUACAAUGUAAAUGACUUGAAUAGUGCAAAUGGAUAUAAUGGGAGUGUCAAUGAAAGUGCUAAUGAAAGUGCUAAUGAAAGUGCUAAUGAAAAUGCUAAUAGCAGUGACGAUAACAAAAAAAAAAUGUGUAAAAAAAAUAGUAAUAUAUUUUAUAAGUUAGUAGAAAAAAAUAAAACAAUUCACAACAAUGCAUUUUUAUUUGAUUAUGACGAUGAUAGUGAAAUAUAUACAUCAAGUGACGAAGAAAUUGUAUUAGAAAUUAAUCCAACUAGUAUAAAUAAGUUAAGCCAAGAUUAUAAUAAAAGUAAAAAAUAUAAAAAGGGGAAAAAAACUAACAAAAAGGUAGUAGUAUAUGAUAAAUAUACUUUUUCAAAAGAAAAUAAAGACAAUUACAUAAAAAAACAUGAAACAACAAAUACGAAUUAUACAAACCGAGAGAAUGGUGUUGUGAAAAAAAUAAAAUUAUUAAAUAGAUAUCCAUUAUAUUUAAGAGAGUUAAUUCAUAUUGUAAAAUCAGCAAAACAGAUAGAAAAAAAAGCAUUAAAUAUAUCAUUUUUAAAAAAGAAUAUGUUAGUAUCUUCAAAUAUAAAUAAAUUGAAUAGCAUAUUUGAAAAAUUAUAUCAAUAUAAUUAUUAUUUACAUAAUAAAAAGUAUGUAUUAAAAAAAAGAAGAAGAUUGUUAUACAGAAUAAUAAGAUAUAAUAUGUUAAACCAUUUUUAUAAUAAUCAUGAUUUAAUUAUGGAACAAGUGUUAAAGAAAAAUAACCAACGCUUUAACUUAAGUAUAGAAAGCAUACAACAGAUAUUUGAAAAUAAUAAAUGUACAUGUGUUUAUGGUGAUAAUGAUAAUAUCAAUGCAAAUCCUAUAUUAUGUAAAAUGUGCCAAACAAAAAUAAAAAAGUUGUUUUAUCUAAUAUGCUUUCACAAUUUUAAUUAUGCCCCUAUCUAUAAAAAUAAUCAAAUAAAUAAAAAAUUGGUAAAACCUAAAAAAUUGUUAACGCAUGUGUUUAUGAAAAGUAAUGUAUCUUCUUUUAUGUCCUCUUCAAAUUUCGUUGGGAAAGGAAAAAAAAUUGGUUUAUCAAAUGAAGAUAGUAAACAUAUAAAUGUUGAGUAUGAUAUACAGUAUUAUGAAGAUAAGUACAUAUAUAUAGUAUCACAAAAUAACAUAUUUUGUCAUAUUUUCCAUGAAGAUUAUUUAAAAAAUAAUUUUAACAAUUUCGUUUGUAGGAUAAAAAAUGGUAGUAAAGGAUAUAUUCCACUAAAUUUAAUACUUAAUAAAUAUAAAAAUAAAAAGUUUUUAAAUAGUAAAAAAAUAAAACAGUUAUUAGAGUAUAAUAAAACCUCACGUAAAAAUAGUAAUGUUGACAUAUCAUCACAGUUAAACAAAUUAAAUGUAAAUGAUAGUUUUUAUGAUACGUUAAAAACGAAAUUAAAAAAAAAUGGAAAUGAUACAAAUAUUUUUUAUAAUGAUAUAUUUACGAAAUUUUAUAACGCUUUACAUAUUUCUUUAGGUAAUACGCAAGAAAGCUAUUUAAAAAGGUUUAAGCAAGACAUAGAAUAUGUUGAUUUUACAAAAGAUUGUGAUUAUAGUUCAGAUGAUAAUUCGGUAGUGUUGUCUGAGAUUUUUAGUAAAGCGAAACAGUCGGUUGAUAGUAAAGAAAACAGUACAAAUAAUUUAAACAAAAACCAUCCAAAUCAUCCAAAUAAAACAAACCAUCCAAACCAUCCAAAUAAAACAAACCAUCCAAACCAUCCAAACCAUCCAAACCAUCCAAAUAAAACAAAAGAUAGUAAUAAUCGUUUAACCUCUUCCCCUCUAUUAUUAAAUAAAAUCAAUAAAGAAUAUAUGAAUCUUAAAAAAAUGAGUUGUAUUGAUGAACUAUUUGUAGAUGAAAAUACAUGGGAAAAUAAUAAACAUAAAAAUUAUUGUUAUUUAACUAUGCAUGGUAAUAAUGAAAUGGAUAGUAGUGAUAAUAGUGGUGACGACAGUGAUAAUAUGUUGGAAAAAAAAAAAAAAAAAAAAAAAAAAAAAAAUAAUAAUUUAAGUUCAUUUAAUGAAUAUUUAAAAGAAAUAAAUAGCGAAAUAGCAAUUAUCGAAAAUAGUGAUGAUAGUGAUGAAAAUUUGAAAAAUAAUAAUGAAAAAACAAAGAAGUUGUUGAAAUAUUUAAAAAGAUCUCCAAUUACUGCGCGUAACAAUAUUGUUAAUAAUAUGUCAAAUAAUACUAAUUUGAAAAGAAGUCUUAGUAGGAAUAACACACUAAUUAUUUCUAGUAGUACAAAUCCUAAUAUAUUAGAAAGAAGGAAAGUACAUAAUAUAAAAAAAAAUAUGAUUAUUCAUCCAUUAAUUAAUUCGAAAAAUAUCGGAUUCAAAAUAAAUGUAAAUGAUAUAGGGAAUAGACAAUUGGAUAUUUAUUGUAUUAAUAAUAAUGAAUAUGUUAAAGCAUAUAAAAAUACUUUUGAUUAUUUAAAAAAUCAUAUGAAUACAGCUAUUCAACAGAAAUAUAAUACUUUUAGUUCUAUGAAAAAGCAAAGGAUAAAUAAUGGUCUUGGUGAAAGUAGUUAUUGUGAUAACAGUAAAGAGAAAGAAGAAACGUAUUAUAGUUAUAUAAAUGAUUUAAACGAAACAGAAAAAAAUAUAAAAGAAUAUAUAGUAGUGAUUGAUGAAAAUAUAGAAGAAGAAAAAUAUAAAAUUGAUAUUUAUAACUAUGCUGAAUUAGAUGCAUAUAUUGUAGAUUCUAAAAAAGAAAAGAAAAAAGAAUUUUAUUCUAAUUUUAUUAAAAAUCAAAUAUAUUCACAUAAAUGGAUUAAUAAGUUACAAUUCAAAUUACAAAAUUAUAAUAAUAUAUAUAAUAAUAGUUAUUUUAAAAAAGAACAUAUAAAUACAGUUCUUGAAAAAAAUAUAUACACUAUUAAAUAAUACGUAUUAUAAAAAUAUGUAUGAUAUCUCUUUUAAUUUAUUAUCAAGACAUAAUUAUAAACAUUACGAGUUAUCCAAUUCAUAUAUGUUAACAAAUUUAAAUCAUAGUAUAAAUCAAAUUUAUAUUAAUAUACUCAAUUCAAUUUUAAAUGAUGUUAUAAAUGCUUCAUGUGUGACAAAAAGUAGUCAAUAUCUGAUAGAGCUUCAAAAUAUUAUUAAUGGUAAUUUACAACUAUCUGAUUUACAACUACAUGAUUUACAACUACAUGAUUUACAACUACAUGAUAUACAACUACAUGAUGAUAAAAUGUCGAGUAAUACCAUA